CAAUCUUCAGGUCUCCCAGGCAUUGAUGCCAGCACCUGGCUAUGGUGGAGAUGGCAGCUCUCAUUUCUGCCUGAAGUUGAGACAAUUCUGAAAAGCCACCUCAGGUCCAGAGCACUCCAUAAGACAAGUUACAGGGCAUUGACUCUCUGGAUCUGAAGAAGGCACCCAUCCCUGCUAAACUAUGGAGUCUCACCCUGUCCCCCAGGCUGGAGUGCAGUGGCAUGAUCUCAGCUUACUGCAACCUCCACCACCUCAGUUCAACUGAUUCUCCUGCCUCAGCCUCCUGAGUAGAUGGGAUUACAGGCAACCACCACCACGCCUGGCUAAUUUUUGUAUUUUCAGUAGAGACAGGGUUUCGCCACUUUGGCCAGGCUGGCUCGAACUCCUGACCUCAGAUGAUCUGCCUGUCUCAGCCUCCCAAAGUGCUAGGAUUGCAGGUAUGAGCCACCACACCCGGCCUUCAGUAUACAUUUAUAAACACAAUUUGAGUCAUAUUUCUCUCUCUCUCUCUGUGCCUAAUUGCCCCAGAAUUAAAAACUAUUUGUGAAUAUUCAUAAUUCAUAGCAAUAUAUUUGUUUGCAUACGUUUAAUAAGAAACUGUUUCUUUUAUAAUGAGACUCAGUUAAGAGACCUGGUUAUUUUUCCAGAGCUUAGGCUAAAGUGACGCUGUGAAAGGUUCCAGCAAAAUCAGUUCAGGAAAACCUAAAUGGGCAAUUCUUGUACUCUGAGUGAGCAAUCAGGCCAAGUAUACGGUACUGAUGCUGUUUUGCAGGUGGAUUGGUCCUGCUGUGAUUUGUUUUUGGUGGAAGUAGGGGAUCAGAGAGAAACAUUGUGUUUCAGAAGAAAAUUCUAGCAUUAGAUUAACUUUUGAUUCCUGGAUAGCCACAUGGUCACCCAUUGUAUGGAGCUCCCUAUGAUAGUCCUCCUCAGCAUGAAGCAGUCAGGAAGAUUGAUGACCAGAUUCCCCAUGCUGGAGUGCAGUGGUGAGAUCUUGGCUCACUGCAAGCUCUGCCUCCCGGGUUCACACCAUUCUCCUGCCUCAGCCUCCUGAGCAUCUGGGACUACA
This 1066-nucleotide long non-coding RNA is filed under the name Homo sapiens (human). RNAcentral describes it as "HSALNT0072930". Lineage: Eukaryota; Metazoa; Chordata; Mammalia; Primates; Hominidae. The record is from RNAcentral.